RNAcentral lists this ribosomal RNA (718 nucleotides) under Columbicola passerinae. RNAcentral's name for it is "12S ribosomal RNA". Lineage: Eukaryota; Metazoa; Arthropoda; Insecta; Psocodea; Philopteridae. The record is from RNAcentral.
AUUUCUUUGUUUCUGGAAAAGAAUAAGUUGGUCUCUGAUUCAACCCUUAUAUAGGUUAAAUAAAGGAAAGAUUUAGGAAAUUGAAUUGACUUCCAAUCCUAGUGAGAAGAGGGAAAGAGGAAAAAUAUGUGCCAGCAUCUGCGGUCAUACAUAUUCUUUUCCAACUUAAUCCAACUAAGUAAACCUAAUUAUUUUAGAAUAAAGAAGAAAAAAUUUGGGUAAAAUCAUUAAUUUUUGGUUGUUCCUUAAUUUUUAGUUAGAGUUUAUCAAACUUUUUUUAAAAACCAGGAUUAGAUACCCUGUUAUUGUAAAGAAAUAAAAAAUUGGAGAGUAGGGUUGAACUGAAAACUAUCCAGAAUGGCGGUUUUUUUUUUUGUUCAGAAAGAUGUGUUUUUAAAACGAAAUUGCACGAAAAUCUUUCUUGUUUUUGAAUAUCCAUCCUGUUCACCGCCGUCUGAAGGGUAAAGAAAAAAAUUUAAUCCUAUUCCUUUAUUCGGGAAUAAGUCAGGUAAGGUGCAGAUUAUAAACAAGACUAAAUGCAUUUCACUAGGAAUGAUCAAGGUUAGGUUUGAAAAAUCUUACCCAAGAAGAAUUUGAAAGUAAAGGUUUUUUAUUAAAAAGCCUUGAAUUAAAUACAAAAAAAAUGUACAAAUCGCCCGUCAACCCAAUGAAGGGUAAGUCGUAACAAAGUUGUUCUACUGGAAAGUGGAGCAGGAUU